CCUGCCCCUAGAGGCGUUACAGAUGUGGCUGGCCGUGCCACGUCUGUGUCAUUAGGUGGCGCAGAGGAAGAGGCUACGUCUACGCUCGGUGCCCUGACAGCUGUGAGCACUCAGAAUGAUUAGUAGCCUGACACUG
Small nucleolar RNA from Sphenodon punctatus (tuatara), 136 nucleotides. NCBI's taxonomy places the organism in Eukaryota, Metazoa, Chordata, Lepidosauria, Sphenodontia, Sphenodontidae. The record is from Ensembl.